Molecule: ribosomal RNA, 329 nt
Filed under: uncultured eukaryote
Lineage: Eukaryota
Description: partial 18S ribosomal RNA
Rfam family: Eukaryotic small subunit ribosomal RNA
Source: RNAcentral
CCCUUAGAUGUUCUGGGCCGCACGCGCGCUACACUGAUGCAUUCAACGAGUCUAAAACCUGCUCUGAUAGGGGUGGGUAAUCUUUUGAAUGUGCAUCGUGAUUGGGAUAGAUGAUUGCAAUUUUUCAUCUUCAACGAGGAAUGCCUAGUAAACGCAAGUCAUCAGCUUGCAUUGAUUACGUCCCUGCCCUUUGUACACACCGCCCGUCGCUCCUACCGAUUGAAUGAUCCGAUGAAUAUCAUGGAUUGAGGAUGCAAGCAGGUUAGCCUAUCUUCAUCUUCGAGAAGUGAAGUAAAUCUUAUCAUUUAGAGGAAGGAGAAGUCGUAACA